AUACGUAGGUGACAAGCGUUAUCCGGAUUUACUGGGCGUAAGGGCGUGUAGGCGGUCUUGCAAGUCAGAAGUGAAAUUCCUGAGCUCAACUCGGGCGCUGCUUCUGAAACUGCAGGACUUGAGUGCUGGAGGGGAUAGCGGAAUUCCUAGUGGAGCGGUAAAAUGCGCAAAUAUUAGGAAGAACACCGGUGGCGAAGGCGGCUAACUGGACAGUAACUGACGCUGAGGCGCGAAAGCGUGGGGAGCAAACAGGAUUAGAUACCCGGGUAGUCCACGCCGUAAACGAUGAAUACUAGGUGUAGGGGGUAUCGACUCCCUCUGUGCCGCAGUUAACACAAUAAGUAUUCCGCCUGGGGAGUACGGCCGCAAGGUUGAAACUCAAAUGAAUUGACGGGG
RNAcentral lists this ribosomal RNA (396 nucleotides) under uncultured bacterium. Its description in RNAcentral is "partial 16S ribosomal RNA". It matches the Rfam family "Bacterial small subunit ribosomal RNA", at positions 523 to 918 of the family's 1533-position model. The record is from RNAcentral.